This 192-nucleotide ribosomal RNA is filed under the name Pseudomonas sp. 1.0.51. RNAcentral's name for it is "partial 16S ribosomal RNA". It matches the Rfam family "Bacterial small subunit ribosomal RNA", at positions 80 to 274 of the family's 1533-position model. The record is from RNAcentral. Lineage: Bacteria; Pseudomonadati; Pseudomonadota; Gammaproteobacteria; Pseudomonadales; Pseudomonadaceae.
UUGCUCCCUGAUUCAGCGGCGGACGGGUGANUAAUGCCUAGNGAAUCUGCCUGGUAUUGGGGGACAACUUUUCNAAAGGAACNCUAAUACCGCAUACUUCCUACGGNAAAAAUUGGGGGAUCUNCGNACCUCACCCUAUCAAAUNACCCUAGGUCGGAUUACCUAUUAGGUNAGGUAAUGGCUCACCUAGGC